GAGGAUAUAGCUCAGUGAUAGAGUGCAUGCUUAGCAUGCAUGAGGUCCUGGGUUCAAUUCCAAGUACCUCCA
RNAcentral lists this transfer RNA (72 nucleotides) under Camelus bactrianus (Bactrian camel). It matches the Rfam family "tRNA". From Rfam's summary of the family: Transfer RNA (tRNA) molecules are approximately 80 nucleotides in length. The record is from Rfam by way of RNAcentral. RNAcentral also lists the same sequence under 3 other names. Lineage: Eukaryota; Metazoa; Chordata; Mammalia; Artiodactyla; Camelidae.